ACAACAACAAAAUUCUAAAUCUAAUAGAAUACUAAUUAAAGUCUAAUUACACCAUAAUAAUGCUAAACAAGCUUUAAUCAAAUUCAAAGAAACUUCAAAAGAAUUACAAAGAAACAAUAAGAAAUCUUAAAGAAAUAUUAGAAUGAUGUCAAAUAUAUCUCAAAUAUAUCUCAAUUCAAUCUUAAUUUAAUCCUAAUUGAAAUCCUAUUGGACUUCAUUCAAACUUUAGGCCAAAAAUUAACUAAAUCUUAAAUCUUAAAUAAACUCAAAUAAAAUCCUAAAUCCUAAAUCAAACCCUAAUCAAAUCCUAAACCCUAAAUCAAAUCCUAACCAAUCCUAAACCAAAUCCCAAAAAAAUUUUAACUCUAAUAAAAUCCUAACUAAAUCCUAAAUCCAAUCCUAACGAAUCCUAAAUCAAACCCUAAAUCAAAACGUAAAUCCUAAAUUAAAUUCUAAUCCUAAAUCAAAUCCUAAUCAAAUGAUAAAUCCUAAAUCAAACCCUAAUCCUAAGUCAAGCCUUAACCAAACUCUAAAUCCUAAACUAAAUCUUAAUUUUAAAUCAAACCCUAACCAAAUUCUAAUCCUAAAUCAAACCCUAAAUACUAAAUCAAAUCCUAGUAAUUUGUACAAUAGAUUUACACCUCAAUAACUAAUGAAUGAAUUAUUGAUCUUAAUUUAAAAUUUUCAUGCUUUUUAACAAUUAAGUUGAAAAAAAGUACAAAUGAAUUUGAAAAGGAUCAAAAUUACCAAAUAGACGAUAGCUUCAAAAACGUGCUUGGAUAUUAGUCAGCCUCCUCCUCCAACUUUAAUACCAAUCUUCUAAAGUCAAAAUUUCUCUUUUUUAACAUUAAAUUAAUUUCAAAAUUCUCAUACACAUAGAAAAACAAGUCUAAUAUCUUUUCACAUAAAUUUCACUCCAAUCCAAUUAGUAGAUUGUAAGAAAUCUUAAAAACCCUCUCUAGACCUAAAAUUCUACUUUCUGAGAUCUAGACCCACUUAAACCUCAAUAAUCCUUAAUUCAAUCGUUAGAUCGAGCUAAGAUUCAAAAUACAUAUUAAGCACAACUAUGACC
Molecule: long non-coding RNA, 1072 nt
Filed under: Physcomitrium patens
Lineage: Eukaryota; Viridiplantae; Streptophyta; Bryopsida; Funariales; Funariaceae
Description: long non-coding RNA (PPAT_LNC005988)
Source: RNAcentral